UACGGAGGGUGCAAGCGUUGUCCGGAAUCACUGGGCGUAAAGGGCGCGUAGGCGGCCUGGUAAGUAGGGGGUGAAAUCCUGCGGCUUAACCGCAGGGCUGCCUUCUAAACUGUCAGGCUUGAGCACGGUAGAGGCAGAUGGAAUUCCCGGUGUAGCGGUGGAAUGCGUAGAGAUCGGGAAGAACACCAACGGCGAAAGCACUCUGCUGGGCCGACACUGACACUGAGAGACGAAAGCUAGGGGAGCGAAUGGG
This 253-nucleotide ribosomal RNA is filed under the name uncultured bacterium. RNAcentral describes it as "partial 16S ribosomal RNA". It matches the Rfam family "Bacterial small subunit ribosomal RNA", at positions 524 to 776 of the family's 1533-position model. The record is from RNAcentral.